Molecule: long non-coding RNA, 813 nt
Filed under: Sorghum bicolor (sorghum)
Lineage: Eukaryota; Viridiplantae; Streptophyta; Magnoliopsida; Poales; Poaceae
Description: long non-coding RNA (SBIC_LNC000785)
Source: RNAcentral
UUCCUAGAGAUGCUAGAAUUCUGGAGAAUUUUAUCUUUGAAAAUCUUUAAAAUAUUGCAUGAUGAGUUCCUGUAUGAUGAGAGUUUAAAUUCCUACCACAGCCAUAUAUACAUGCUUGCUAGACUUUGAGCCACACAUUUACUUUACUGCUUAUGAGCAUUGAGUGUGGUCAAGCUGUGUAGACCCUUAGGAGCUUGUCAUGUGGUUAAAAUCAAGAUUUCACUUGCACGUUCACUCAUAUAUGCUACUUCUACUCCGGAAGUACCAUCCACAUAUAUCCAUCUAUUUCCAUCUCCAGAAUCACCCAAAAAUAUUCUACUCCUAAUCCGGGAGAGAAUAGCCAAAAAUAUUUCUGUUUUUCCCCUGUGAAAUAAAUGCUCAAGUUAUCUUGUUACUACCACUUGCUAUAUUAUCUCAAGAGAUGAGUGCUCUAAAAAAAAGAUACGAGGAAGUAAAAAGGGGCAAGUGCCCGGAACCUCGAAAGAAAAGAAAGAGUGAGACGAGAGGUUAAAAUGGACAAGUGUCCGACAGUAGAAUUAGGGGUACAAGAUACCCACCUGAGAGAAAAGAAAAAGAAGAGCAUCUCAUUCUCCUCAUAAAAUUUCAAAAAGCAAGGAAGGUAUGUAUCCCCUCAAAAGAGCAAAAGUAGAAUUAGACUUUCACCACUGUUAUCACCAUCAUCACCAUACACCAUUCAUUCGCCACACAUGCACAUCUUGAUUUGACUUAUUGAUUUGUUCCUUUGGAUCCAUGGUUUGACUAUACAAUAAAUGUCUUGUAAGUAUGUAUACUUUAUCUCCCACCUAUGAGCUC